This 120-nucleotide ribosomal RNA is filed under the name Balaenoptera physalus (Fin whale). RNAcentral also lists the same sequence under 1 other name. Lineage: Eukaryota; Metazoa; Chordata; Mammalia; Artiodactyla; Balaenopteridae. The record is from RNAcentral.
GUCUCCAGCCGUACCACCCUGAAUGCGCCCGAUCUUGUCUGAUCUCAGAAGCUAAGCAGGGUCGGGGCUGGUUCGUACCUGGAUGGGAGAGCGCCUGGGAAUAACCGAGUGCUGUAGGCU